GAAGAACCUUACCUACUCUUGACAUCCAGCGAAUCCUUUAGAGAUAGAGGAGUGCCUUCGGGAACGCUGAGACAGGUGCUGCAUGGCUGUCGUCAGCUCGUGUUGUGAAAUGUUGGGUUAAGUCCCGCAACGAGCGCAACCCUUAUCCUUUGUUGCCAGCACGUAAUGGUGGGAACUCAAAGGAGACUGCCGGUGAUAAACCGGAGGAAGGUGGGGAUGACGUCAAGUCAUCAUGGCCCUUACGAGUAGGGCUACACACGUGCUACAAUGGCAGAUACAAAGAGAAGCGACCUCGCGAGAGCAAGCGGAACUCAUAAAGUCUGUCGUAGUCCGGAUUGGAGUCUGCAACUCGACUCCAUGAAGUCGGAAUCGCUAGUAAUCGUAGAUCAGAAUGCUACGGUGAAUACGUUCCCGGGCCUUGUACACACCGCCCGUCACACCAUGGGAGUGGGUUGCAAAAGAAGUAGGUA
Molecule: ribosomal RNA, 470 nt
Filed under: uncultured Proteus sp.
Lineage: Bacteria; Pseudomonadati; Pseudomonadota; Gammaproteobacteria; Enterobacterales; Morganellaceae
Description: bacterial SSU rRNA
Rfam family: Bacterial small subunit ribosomal RNA
Source: RNAcentral